UAGGGAAUCUUCCACAAUGGACGCAAGUCUGAUGGAGCAACGGCCGCGUGAGUGAAGAAGGUUUUCGGACCGUAAAGCUCUGUUGUUGGUGAAGAAGGAUAGAGGUAGUAACUGGCCUUUAUUUGACGGUAAUCAACCAGAAAGUCACGGCUAACUACGUGCCAGCAGCCGCGGUAAUACGUAGGUGGCAAGCGUUGUCCGGAUUUAUUGGGCGUAAAGCGAGCGCAGGCGGAAGAAUAAGUCUGAUGUGAAAGCCCUCGGCUUAACCGAGGAAUUGCAUCGGAAACUGUUUUCUUGAGUGCAGAAGAGGAGAGUAGAACUCCAUGUGUAGCGGUGGAAUGCGUAGAUAUAUGGAAGAAUACCAGUGGCGAAGGCGGCUCUCUGGUCUGCAACUGACGCUGAGGCUCGAAAGCAUGGGUAGCGAACAGGAUUAGAUACC
This 439-nucleotide ribosomal RNA is filed under the name uncultured bacterium. RNAcentral's name for it is "partial 16S ribosomal RNA". It matches the Rfam family "Bacterial small subunit ribosomal RNA", at positions 355 to 786 of the family's 1533-position model. The record is from RNAcentral.